RNAcentral lists this ribosomal RNA (612 nucleotides) under Meyerozyma guilliermondii. RNAcentral's name for it is "eukaryotic LSU rRNA". The stretch from base 203 to 356 matches the Rfam family "5.8S ribosomal RNA". The record is from RNAcentral. Lineage: Eukaryota; Fungi; Ascomycota; Pichiomycetes; Serinales; Debaryomycetaceae.
AUUCCGUAGGGUGACCUGCGGAAGGAUCAUURCRCGKAUUCUUUUGCCAGCGCUUAACUGCGCGGCGAAAAACCUUACACACAGUGUCUUUUUGAUACAGAACUCUUGCUUUGGUUUGGCCUAGAGAUAGGUUGGGCCAGAGGUUUAACAAAACACAAUUUAAUUAUUUUUACAGUUAGUCAAAUUUUGAAUUAAUCUUCAAAACUUUCAACAACGGAUCUCUUGGUUCUCGCAUCGAUGAAGAACGCAGCGAAAUGCGAUAAGUAAUAUGAAUUGCAGAUUUUCGUGAAUCAUCGAAUCUUUGAACGCACAUUGCGCCCUCUGGUAUUCCAGAGGGCAUGCCUGUUUGAGCGUCAUUUCUCUCUCAAACCCCCGGGUUUGGUAUUGAGUGAUACUCUUAGUCGGACUAGGCGUUUGCUUGAAAAGUAUUGGCAUGGGUAGUACUGGAUAGUGCUGUCGACCUCUCAAUGUAUUAGGUUUAUCCAACUCGUUGAAUGGUGUGGCGGGAUAUUUCUGGUAUUGUUGGCCCGGCCUUACAACAACCAAACAAGUUUGACCUCAAAUCAGGUAGSAAUACCCGCUGAACUUAAGCAUAUCAAUAAGCGGAGGAAG